CCCUUAGAUGUUCUGAACCGCACGCGUGUUACACUGAUGGAUUCAACAAGCAUAUAACCUUGACUGAGAAGUCUGGGCAAUCUUUUUAAUGUCCAUCGUGAUAGGGAUAGAUUAUUGCAAUUAUUAAUCUUGAACGAGGAAUUCCUAGUAAACGCAGAUCAUCAAUCUGCAUUGAUUACGUCCCUGCCCUUUGUACACACCGCCCGUCGCACCUACCGAUUGAGCGUUCCGGUGAAACCUCGGGAUUGUAGUUGAUUCCUUUACUGGAAUCUCCCGCGAGAACUUGUUUGAACCUUAUCGCUUAGAGGAAGGUGAAGUCGUAACA
Molecule: ribosomal RNA, 325 nt
Filed under: uncultured eukaryote
Lineage: Eukaryota
Description: partial 18S ribosomal RNA
Rfam family: Eukaryotic small subunit ribosomal RNA
Source: RNAcentral